RNAcentral lists this ribosomal RNA (311 nucleotides) under uncultured eukaryote. RNAcentral describes it as "partial 18S ribosomal RNA". It matches the Rfam family "Eukaryotic small subunit ribosomal RNA", at positions 1470 to 1796 of the family's 1831-position model. The record is from RNAcentral.
CCCCUAGACGUUCUGGGCUGCACGCGCGCUACAAUAAUACGCACAGCGAGUAUCACCGAGCUCGAAAGGGCAAGGUAAACAAUAGAAAAGGUACUGUAAUGGUUAUAGAUCCUUGUAAUUAUUGAUCUUCAACGAGGAAUUCCUAGUAAGUAUGUGUCAUCAUCACGCACUGAUUACGUCCCAGCCCUUUGUACACACCGCCCGUCGCUCCUACCGAUUGGGUGAGCCGAUGAAACUCUCGGAUGUAGGCUAUUCAUAGCCCGCAGAAGAGAUUUGAAUCGUAGCGCUUAGAGGAAGGAGAAGUCGUAACA